This 1051-nucleotide long non-coding RNA is filed under the name Hordeum vulgare. RNAcentral's name for it is "long non-coding RNA (HVUL_LNC016920)". Lineage: Eukaryota; Viridiplantae; Streptophyta; Magnoliopsida; Poales; Poaceae. The record is from RNAcentral.
GCUGGAUUUUUGCCUCGGUGACUAUGGGGCUGUUUGGUUCCUAGCCACACCUUGCCACACUUUGCCGCAACUUACCUUAGGCAAGUUUGACCAAGUUAGGUGGGUGUUUGGUUCUAGCCACACCUAAGGCAAGCAUUUUUUAAUGAGUACUAAACCCCACAUGUCAUAGACACAAAAAGUGUGGCAAGAUUCCCUUAGACAAGCCAAUGUGUGGCUAACAAUUUGAGCAACUCAAAUAAGGCAAGUGUGGCAAAAAUAAUGUGGUAAGAUAUGGCAAGGAUAGUCAUAAUCCAAACAGCCCCUAUGUCUGUGCACUGCCUCAACGUAACUGACAUCAUGCACAGCCAUCUGGUAAUUUGGGGCAUCAAUUUUUGUUUGUGUACGCAGUCCCUUCUCUCACAUGAUUCUUUCUUCCUUUGAUUUGUUUCUUUCUUCUAAUGUUGUUGUCUGUGUUUUGCCUCCUUUUGCCUGUAGUGAACCACAACGGGAAUUGCAUGUGCAUUGAACAUCCCUGGACUUCACGUCUACUGGCAGCAGCGAUAUACAUAUCGAUUAUGCUAUCAUUUAAGGUUAUCUAUUUUCAGCAUUUUCAGUUAUAGGUGUAAUUUUCUUCAGUUCCACAACAUCCUUCAGAGUUCAGGGUUCAGCGUUCAGUGAAUCCUGGUGUGUUGUCUGUGUGAGAUGGUAACGGGUUUGCAAGCGGCCCGUUAGGUUUGCAAACAAUCGCUUAAAGGUCCAAGAGGGAGAGGCAGAAUUAGACCUGAAACCGGAACGAAAACAUAAGUUUUUGAAGACUGGGAACUGACUAAAAUUACAACGAAUACAAAGUGUCAAAAACUGAUAGGACUAAAAACGACCUGAACCAAAUGGAAAAACACACGACUGACAUUUUAUUUUAUAGAACAAAAAGUGGUUAUGUGCCUUCAAAUUUGGUUACCUUGAGGUGUGCCAAAUUUUGCGGUGGUGGCUCCAACACUCAGGGAAACACUGGGGCAAGGAUCCCGUGGGAUGGAUCUGACUUUUUGAUUUUGUAUAAUCUUCACUAUAAUAG